CCCUACGGGGCGCAGCAGGCGCGAAACCUCUNCAAUGCGGGAAACCGUGACAGGGGGAUCCCAAGUGCUCAUGCAUUGCAUGGGCUGUUCUUUGGUCUAAGUAACCANGAGGAGUAAGGGCUGGGCAAGACCGGUGCCAGCCGCCGCGGUAAUACCGGCAGCUCAAGUGGUAGCCGCGAUUAUUGGGCCUAAAGCGUUCGUAGCCGGAUAAGUAAGUCUUUGGUUAAAUCCUGCGACUUAACCGUGGGAAAUCUAGAGAUACUKCUUGUCUUGAGACCGGGAGAGGUUGGAGGUACUCCCAGGGUAGGGGUGAAAUCCUGUAAUCCUGGGGGGACCACCUGUGGCGAAGGCGUCCAACUGGAACGGGCUCUGACGSUGAGGGACGAAACCUAGGGGAGCGAGCCGGAUUAGAUACCCGGGUAGUCCUASGCGUAAAUGAUGCGAGUUAAGUGUGGGGGCAUCUACCANAUGGCCCUGUGCUGUANGGUAGCCGUUAAACUCGCCGCCUGGGGAGUACGGUCGCAAGGCUGAAACUUAAAGGAAU
RNAcentral lists this ribosomal RNA (544 nucleotides) under uncultured euryarchaeote. Its description in RNAcentral is "bacterial SSU rRNA". It matches the Rfam family "Archaeal small subunit ribosomal RNA", at positions 321 to 865 of the family's 1478-position model. Lineage: Archaea; Methanobacteriati; Methanobacteriota. The record is from RNAcentral.